AGCUUUGCAUAGUGGCAGUAUUGUAGCCAGAGAUUUAUCCGAGGCUCGAUUAUUGCUAAUUGAAAACUUUUCCCAAUACCCCACCAUGACAACUUGCAAUAUAGUUGGCAUUGGCAAUUUUUGACAGUCUCUACGGAGA
This 139-nucleotide small nuclear RNA is filed under the name Aotus nancymaae (Ma's night monkey). Its description in RNAcentral is "U4 spliceosomal RNA (ENSANAG00000007565.1)". It matches the Rfam family "U4 spliceosomal RNA". Rfam says of the family: U4 small nuclear RNA (U4 snRNA) is a component of the major U2-dependent spliceosome. The structure of U4 snRNA from yeast and human has been reported. Lineage: Eukaryota; Metazoa; Chordata; Mammalia; Primates; Aotidae. The record is from Rfam by way of RNAcentral.